UAAAAGGUUCUACUCAGAGCCACACGUUAACAAAGAUACACUCUAU
Non-coding RNA from Leptosomus discolor (cuckoo roller), 46 nucleotides. The record is from Rfam. NCBI's taxonomy places the organism in Eukaryota, Metazoa, Chordata, Aves, Leptosomiformes, Leptosomidae.